RNAcentral lists this ribosomal RNA (253 nucleotides) under uncultured archaeon. RNAcentral's name for it is "partial 16S ribosomal RNA". It matches the Rfam family "Bacterial small subunit ribosomal RNA", at positions 524 to 775 of the family's 1533-position model. The record is from RNAcentral.
UACGUAGGUGGCAAGCGUUAUCCGGAUUUAUUGGGCCUAAAGCAUUCGUAGCCGGUUUGAAAAAUCCUUUGUGAAAUUGUUGAACUCAAUACAACAGCGUGCAGGGGACACUUUCAGGCUAGAGACUGGGAGGAGUUGGGGGUAUGCCUUGGGGAACGGUUAAAUGUGAUAAUCCAAGGUAGACCACCUGUGGCGAAGGCGCCCAACUAGAACAGUUCUGACGGUGAGGGAUGAAAGCUAGGGGAGCGAUCCG